This 519-nucleotide long non-coding RNA is filed under the name Chinchilla lanigera (long-tailed chinchilla). Its description in RNAcentral is "lncRNA (ENSCLAG00000027249.1)". Lineage: Eukaryota; Metazoa; Chordata; Mammalia; Rodentia; Chinchillidae. The record is from RNAcentral.
UUAUGAUGGGCACAGUGUGAUGGGGUUGCAUGUGUCUCUGCAGAGUCCGUUGCCAGCUGAAUCACCUUUGCUUCCCCCAGAAGAGAAGGGGUAGAAGGAGCCAGCAGGAACUGAAAAGCCCUCUAAACUAAGGAGGCUAAGUAACAAAGACAUUCAGGACUCGGGCCCUGGAUGGAGGCUGGCAGCUUCAGACAGAACCAGCACGUCUGAGGGACAACCAGGAGAUGCCUUUGGCUGUGGAGCUCAGGAUAUGAAUCAGAGAAAAAGAACUGAAGACUUAUUCCAGGAAGAAAGGGGAGGACUAGCAGUGGAUUUUUCACUGGUAAGGCAAUUUACACACUUGUCCUUCUCAUGGUGAGUCAGUCUGUGAUACAUUUCAUAGCAAUGUCUAUGAGUUUCCAAAUCUAGAAUUAGACAUGCCAGCCAAAUAAGGGAUAGAGAAGAAAACAGUCUUGUACUCCAUCUAGUUAUCAUUCACAGCAUUCUGGAAGAGGACCUUCAAGAAAUGACUAUUCGGAC